UUGUUUGGCACCUCGAUGUCGGCUCAUCGCAUCCUGGGGCUGGAGCAGGUCCCAAGGGUUUGGCUGUUCGCCAAUUAAAGCGGUACGUGAGCUGGGUUUAGAACGUCGUGAGACAGUUCGGUCCCUAUCUGCCGUGGGUGUCGGAAAAUUGAGAGGAGCUGCCCCUAGUACGAGAGGACCGGGGUGGACGUAUCUCUGGUGGACCUGUUGUUGCGCCAGCAGCAUAGCAGGGUAGCUAUAUACGGAAGGGAUAACCGCUGAAUGCAUCUAAGCGGGAAGCCCCCCUCAAAACCAGUUUUCCCUUGAGAGUCGAGGAAGACUACCUCGUUGAUAGGCCAGGUGUGGAAGUGUGGCGACACAUGAAGCUGACUGGUACUAAUUACUCGAUAGGCUUGAUCUU
RNAcentral lists this ribosomal RNA (400 nucleotides) under Maricaulis sp. Its description in RNAcentral is "partial 23S ribosomal RNA". It matches the Rfam family "Bacterial large subunit ribosomal RNA", at positions 2514 to 2925 of the family's 2925-position model. The record is from RNAcentral. Lineage: Bacteria; Pseudomonadati; Pseudomonadota; Alphaproteobacteria; Maricaulales; Maricaulaceae. RNAcentral also lists the same sequence under 1 other name.